RNAcentral lists this ribosomal RNA (801 nucleotides) under uncultured bacterium. RNAcentral describes it as "bacterial SSU rRNA". It matches the Rfam family "Bacterial small subunit ribosomal RNA", at positions 82 to 885 of the family's 1533-position model. The record is from RNAcentral.
CUUCUGAUGGCGACCGGCGCACGGGUGCGUAACGCGUAUGCGACCUACCUGUAACAGGGGGAUAACACUGAGAAAUCGGUACUAAUACCGCAUAACACUAUGAGAGGCAUCUCUUGUGGUUGAAAGUUUCGGCGGUUACAGAUGGGCAUGCGUUGUAUUAGCUGGUUGGUAAGGUAACGGCUUACCAAGGCGACGAUACAUAGGGGGACUGAGAGGUUAACCCCCCACAUUGGUACUGAGACACGGACCAAACUCCUACGGGAGGCAGCAGUGAGGAAUAUUGGUCAAUGGACGGAAGUCUGAACCAGCCAUGCCGCGUGCAGGAAGACGGCUCUAUGAGUUGUAAACUGCUUUUGUACAAGGGUAAACCUGAAUACGUGUAUUCAGCUGAAAGUACUGUACGAAUAAGGAUCGGCUAACUCCGUGCCAGCAGCCGCGGUAAUACGGAGGAUCCAAGCGUUAUCCGGAUUUAUUGGGUUUAAAGGGUGCGUAGGCGGAUUGAUAAGUUAGAGGUGAAAUGUCCGAGCUUAACUCGGGAACUGCCUCUAAUACUGUUGAUCUAGAGAGUAGAUGCGGUAGGCGGAAUGUAUGGUGUAGCGGUGAAAUGCUUAGAGAUCAUACAGAACACCGAUUGCGAAGGCAGCUUACCAAUCUAUAUCUGACGUUGAGGCACGAAAGCGUGGGGAGCAAACAGGAUUAGAUACCCUGGUAGUCCACGCAGUAAACGAUGAUAGCUCGUUGUCGGCGAUACACAGUCGGUGACUAAGAGAAAUCGAUAAGCUAUCCCCCUGGGGAGUACGU